RNAcentral lists this unclassified non-coding RNA (219 nucleotides) under soil metagenome. RNAcentral's name for it is "partial contains 5.8S ribosomal RNA, internal transcribed spacer 2, and large subunit ribosomal RNA". The record is from RNAcentral.
AAGACUAUAGACCUGCGGAGUACCUGCGGAAGGAUCAUUACAGGACUCGCAAGACUCCUACAACCCUGUGAACCUACUAUACGAACGUUGCUUCGGCGGGUGCGCCCCGGGGAUUCGUUCCCGCGGCGCGUCAGCCCGCCGGCAGCCUACAAAUUCUGUUUCUUUGCGUUGGCAUCUCGAGAAAAACAAAUAAGUUAAAACUUUUAGCAAUGGAUCUCU